This 775-nucleotide ribosomal RNA is filed under the name uncultured Neocallimastigales. RNAcentral describes it as "partial large subunit ribosomal RNA". It matches the Rfam family "Eukaryotic large subunit ribosomal RNA", at positions 23 to 647 of the family's 3401-position model. Lineage: Eukaryota; Fungi; Neocallimastigomycota; Neocallimastigomycetes; Neocallimastigales. The record is from RNAcentral.
AGAGAGAGACAUGCGCGCAUAUCAAUAAGCGGAGGAAAAGAAACUAACAAGGAUUCCCCUAGUAACGGCGAGUGAAGCGGGAAGAGCUCAAAUUUGAAAUCUUAAAGGGUUUCCCUUUACGAAUUGUAGUUUAAAGAAGUGUUUUCUGUUGAGGUUUUGGUAAAAGUUCUUUGGAAUAGGACAUCAUAGAGGGUGAGAAUCCCGUAUUUGACCUUUACUUUCAACUUUGUGAUACACUUUCAAAGAGUCGGAUUGUUUGGGAAUGCAGUCCAAAAUGGGUGGUAAAUUUCAUCUAAAGCUAAAUAUUGGCGAGAGACCGAUAGCGAACAAGUACCGUGAGGGAAAGAUGAAAAGAACUUUGAAAAGAGAGUUAAACAGUACGUGAAAUUGUCAAAAGGGAAGCGUUUGACACCAGUGUUGUUUUUCUGAAAAUCAAUUAAAGAACUGUUUAUGCUAAGCUUGUUUAGACUUUAUCAGCUAUCUGUUUAGUUUUGAGCUUUUCUUUAAUGCACUUUUCAGUUAACAAGUCAACAUCAAUUUCUUUUGCUGUAAAAAAGCUUGAGGAAGGUGGCUUGAGAUUCGUCUUAAGUGUUUAUAGCCUCUUGCCUAUGCAGUCGGAGAGAUUGAGGUCUGCAGCGUAGAUCCUUCGGGGCUAAAUGCAUUUGUGCUAAGUUAUAGCAUUUUAUAGACAACUUGUUGACUAUGAUUUGUCUUGUAGCUUACUCGCUUAUGUUAUUUUACCUACGCUUAGGAUGUUGACGCAUGAGAUAUACGC